Molecule: ribosomal RNA, 445 nt
Filed under: uncultured bacterium
Lineage: Bacteria
Description: partial 16S ribosomal RNA
Rfam family: Bacterial small subunit ribosomal RNA
Source: RNAcentral
GUGAGGAAUAUUGCGCAAUGGAGGCAACUCUGACGCAGCCAUGCCGCGUGCAGGAAGAAGGCGCUACGCGUUGUAAACUGCUUUUAACCGGGAAGAAACCCCAGGACGUGUCCUGGGUUGACGGUACCGGAGGAAUAAGCACCGGCUAACUUCGUGCCAGCAGCCGCGGUAAUACGAAGGGUGCAAGCGUUAUCCGUAUUCAUUGGGUUUAAAGGGUGCGUAGGCGGAGCGUUAAGUCAGUGGUGCAAUCCUGCAGCUUAACUGUAGACUUGCCAUUGAUACUGGCGCUCUUGAGUGCGCUUGAAGUGGGCGGAAUGUGCCGUGUAGCGGUGAAAUGCUUAGAUAUGGCACAGAACACCAAUUGCGAAGGCAGCUCACUAAGGCGAUACUGACGCUGAGGCACGAAAGCGUGGGGAUCGAACAGGAUUAGAUACCCUAGUAGUCC